GAUGAACGCUGGCGGCGUGCCUAAUACAUGCAAGUCGAACGAGGUGCUUUUGUAGCAAUACGAAAGUAUCCUAGUGGCGAACGGGUGAGGAAUACAUGGGUAAUCUACCAUCGAGUGGGGAAUAACCAGCCGAAAGGUUGGCUAAUACCGCGUACGCCUCCGAAUCUUCGGGUUCGGAGGGAAAGCCACACUGUGAGUGCGGCGCUCUUUGAUGAGCUCAUGUCCUAUCAGCUUGUUGGUAGGGUAACGGCCUACCAAGGCUUUGACGGGUAGCUGGUCUGAGAGGACGAUCAGCCACACUGGCACUGCGACACGGGCCAGACUCCUACGGGAGGCAGCAGUAAGGAAUAUUGCGCAAUGGGCGAAAGCCUGACGCAGCGACGCCGCGUGGGGGAUGAAGGUCUUCGGAUUGUAAACCCCUUUCGGGUAGGGAAGAUGGAGCGAGCAAUCGUUCGGACGGUACCUCCAGAAGCAGCCA
RNAcentral lists this ribosomal RNA (478 nucleotides) under uncultured bacterium. Its description in RNAcentral is "bacterial SSU rRNA". It matches the Rfam family "Bacterial small subunit ribosomal RNA", at positions 28 to 493 of the family's 1533-position model. The record is from RNAcentral.